GUUUUUCAUCGACAUUGGUCGGUUGUGUGUCGUUCGUUUUAAUUUGUUUCUUCUACGGUUUUCAUUUUGUACGUUUUCUUAUUUAUUGUUUUAUUUCCAUAAUUAAUUAAUAAUCAAGAGAAAAUUUCAAACCAAAAAAAUUUACAAAUUUAAUUAAAUACAAAAAUAGUGCUAAAUUAAUACAUAAUAUAAAGAGAAAUCAAAUGUGACAAGUGUUGAAAAAAAUAGUUAAGAAGUAUUAGUAGUUUAUGAGUGGUUUUAAAAUAAAGUAUAUUGUAUAUUAAUUACAAAAUUUCUUUGGAUGAUUCAAAAACUAUAUGAAUAGAAGAAAAAAUAAAAAAAAAUAAAACCUCGGUGAAAACAAUCAGUUGAUCGCAUUCAGCUACUAAUACCAUAACAACAACAGCAAAAAUAGUAACAUCAAGGUAAAUUUUAACCAACGAGAGGGAGCAAAGCAACCAACCAACAACCAACCAUACCAACAACAAUAUUUAGAAACAGCAACAACAACAACUCACGUCAUUUCACAAACACACACUUACAAUGUGGAGCCCAACACAUAUUAAAGUGACAAUAAAUUCCGCCCGUAAUCUAAUAUGCAAGGGCAAAAAUAACACAAACAAUUGUUUUGUGACCAUCGGUCUGGGUAAAGAGAAAUAUCAGACAUCGGUUAAGGAAAAAGCCGAAUCAAAAGUUGAAUGGAAGGAAGAAUGUGAACUUAAAAUUCCUGAUCAAGGCAAUCGUGCUGAACUUGUCCUAACCUGUUUGCAUCGCAACAACUUGAGUAUAGAUGAAUUUCUUGGCCAAGUUACUUUGCCCCUUAAUGACAUGGACGUCUAUGAACGUCCAAAGUCGAAAUGGUUUAAACUGGAGAGUAAACCGGGCAAAGAUAAAAAGAAUAAAGAACGUGGUGAACUGGAGGUUGAGAUAUCGUUCACCGUCAAAUCUGGUUCAUUGACCGAUUUGAGUAAAAAAGAGAAACACAAGUCUUCCAUUGGACAGUUGGCUUCAUCGGUGGGUGGCAGUUUAUUGUCGAUCAGUACGAUUGAAAAGCGUAAGGGUAUUAAGAAGAUUGCCAAAAAGUUUGGUUCCAAACUGCAUCUCAGCGGCAGUGGUAAGAAAAAGAACAAAGAUGAAGAUGACAUGUCGUAUAAUGGUUCGUUUGCCAGCAUUGGCACACCGAAUCGUGUGCGCGUUCCCGACAGCGACGAUGAAGAUGAAUUUCAAUUCGAUAAGCUGUCGCAAAAGAGUUCGGUUAGUUCUCUGAAUAUACGUGAUGGCUUGCAGCCGCCUUCCCAAAACUUUACGCCAAGAAAUCCCUCGCCCUUGAUGGGUUCAACCGGUAAAGGUCAAAUAGGUAAGGACCAUCACUUCAGAUAUGAUGGAUCAGACAACCUCAGUGUGGAUCCGGAAUUGGAAGAAAUUGAAAAUGAAUUUAGCAUAAGAGCGCGUACUCUACCACCUCCUACUAAACCUCCACGCACACCUCAAAUGGAUGGAGGAGAAAUGAAAACAAAUGGCAAGGAUAAACACAACACUGAAUUGGAUGAAUGGGAAUCGAAAUUGUAUGGACGCUCUGAGUCUGCUAAUGCGGACUCGUUAAAGCGGAGAUCUUGGGAGCCUGUGGCGGUGCCAUUGAAAACUUCGAACUAUGAAGAAGUCACGGAAAAGGAGGUAGCCCUAAUAGAACCAGAACCCAUGACCAAAUCUCAAUUACCCACUCUACAAGAAUCACAAACUCCCGAAACUUUCACUGACAGUUCAAGCAGCAGUGAUGAAGAAGUUGAGGCAGAAAAACCAAAACAAGUUGUGGCUCCUUUAAGACAACCAAGUGAAGAAAAGCCCAAGGACACAGUAAAUUCCCCAGCAAAACCUAACGAUCUCAAACUGUUGGCCCCCAAUGACAGUAAUGAGAUUGUUAAAAAGGAUUCCCUACUUUCGCCAGAUGUUGAUAAAAAUGAAUUUGCUAAAUUUAAUGCUUCUUUUGCUAAAUUUGAACAGAAAAACAGUUCCAAGUUCUUUGAUAUUGGCGAUGAAACAAAUAAUUUCCUAAAACGUGAAUCUCAGUCGUCUGGUGUUCAACAGCAGCCUCAGCCACUACCCAAACCAAGAGCAAGAGUUGUGCCCCCUGUGGAACAACAACAAGAUAAUGUAAAAGCUUUGGAAGAGGAACAACGUAAACGUGAGGCCGAAGAUGCUCGUUUAGAAGCUGAACUACAGGCAAAUGAAAAACGACUCAGAGAAGAGGAGGAAGCUCUACAGCAAGAAUUACGCCACAAAGAAGAAGAAGAAAAGAGACGAGAAGCCAAACGUCGUGAAGAAGAUUUUCGAAUUUUAAAUUUCUCCAAACGUCUAGUGUCACAAGAAGAUAAACCAGAGGAAAAGCAAGAAGAAAAAAUCAUUGAACCCCUGGUUAAUAACAAAGAACAAUACAAAGAGGAGAAGAAACUUGAAAUCAAUAACAAAAAAGAACGGCAAUUUAACAUAAACAGAGAAAAACAAGCUGUAAGUAAAGCGUCUACGCCUAGUCCCAAGCAAAAUGAACGCAUCAUCAUUGGCCAUGAGAAAGCCAAUACACAAGCGGAAAGACGUGCCGAAAUAUCAGCAGCUUUAGCCAAAAAAUAUGAAGGCAAAUCAAGAGAGGAACUAAUGCUUAUUGCCAAUGGCAUGGAAAACGAAGCCUUAAUACAAAGACAACGUGUCAAAGAACUUGAAGAUUAUUUAGACAAUUUAUUAUUAAGAGUUAUGGAAACACAUCCCAAAAUCUUACAGAAUCCCUACUCACGAACAACUUCAGCUAAGAGCGAAAAAGAAAGAAAAGCAUUAACGAAAUUUUUAAUUUAGUUUUAAAAAUUACAUCAAUAUGAACGAUUUUUUGUAAGAAUGCUAAAAAUAAAAAAAGAAAAACAAACGAACGAUGCACGUUAAAAUCAAAAAAAAACCUACAUACUACCCUACUACUACUACUAUGCAUGAACUCUAGGAAUUUAUGAAGAUCACUGAAAAAAUGAAAGGCACAACGGUUAAACCUAUAAGUUUCUUCAAAAAACCAAUUUAUCAAUCAUCACAAAUGGGGAGUUCCAAGUAAAAUUCAUCACCAUAUUGCCUUCAAAGUGCAAAAUUAAAGUGCUUUUAUUGUAUUUUGUUGAAAUCUAUGAUAUUUUUUUUAUUUAAAUUAACAUUUUUAAACUAAUUAACUAAACUACUACUACUAUUUACUAUUAUUAUAACUAUUUCAUAUUACUAUUACUAUAUACAAAUAUAAAACAUUUUAUAAACAAUUUUAGGGCAAUAUUAUUUAAACUUUUGUAACAAAAACCAAUUUCCUAUUAAUUCCAAAACUUUUCUUGUUAUUUAUAAAAUUUUAUAUUUCAGUUACUGUCCUUUUUCUCUACUAACUUUUAUGUAAUAACAAAAAUUAUUGUCUUUGUUAAUUGAUUGAUUGAUUUAUCUCUAUAAAUAAAGGCAAACCAGAUUUUUUCAUUAGUUUUUAAGUUAUAGUUUAAUAUUAAUAAUAAACAUAUAUUUAUUUUAUAAAACAACAUACUAACACAAGGAAUUAUAAGUAACCAACAAAUUCUGUUACAAAAAUUUUCAAAUUUAACAGCAUUUGUUGCAGUUCUUGUUUUAGUAUUUCUAGCUGAGAAAUUUUAUAUAAAAAAAACCAAGUAUUUUAUUGAUUCACUUUGUAUUAUUGUUAUUUGUUUUUACUGAUGAUUAUCUGUGUGUCUAAAUUUAUUAAUAUGUACGUAUUUUAUUUUACUUUUGUAUUUGUAUUAUUUUAUAAUUUAAACAAAAAAAACUGUUAACUUUAAAACUAAAUAAAUAAAAAUAAAAUCAAAAUUUAUAUUUAAUAUUAAACUAAA
RNA transcript from Calliphora vicina (urban bluebottle blowfly), 3866 nucleotides. It is a transcript of the gene named Rab11 interacting protein, with no coding region annotated. Lineage: Eukaryota; Metazoa; Arthropoda; Insecta; Diptera; Calliphoridae. The record is from RefSeq and is a predicted model, not a curated record. The transcript is spliced from 7 exons.